This is a non-coding RNA of Cervus elaphus (red deer), 76 nucleotides long. The record is from the annotation of a RefSeq genome assembly. NCBI's taxonomy places the organism in Eukaryota, Metazoa, Chordata, Mammalia, Artiodactyla, Cervidae.
UCCCUGGUGGCUCAGAUGGUAAAGCAUCUGUCUGCCUGCAAUGCAGAAGACCCAGGUUCAAUCCCUGGGUGGGGAA